UGGGGAAUAUUGGACAAUGGGCGCAAGCCUGAUCCAGCCAUGCCGCGUGAGUGAUGAAGGCCCUAGGGUUGUAAAGCUCUUUCACCGGUGAAGAUAAUGACGGUAACCGGAGAAGAAGCCCCGGCUAACUUCGUGCCAGCAGCCGCGGUAAUACGAAGGGGGCUAGCGUUGUUCGGAUUUACUGGGCGUAAAGCGCACGUAGGCGGACUAUUAAGUCAGGGGUGAAAUCCCGGGGCUCAACCCCGGAACUGCCUUUGAUACUGGUAGUCUUGAGUUCGAGAGAGGUGAGUGGAAUUCCGGGUGUAGAAGUGAAAUUCGUAGAUAUUCGGAGGAACACCAGUGGCGAAGGCGGCUCACUGGCUCGAUACUGACGCUGAGGUGCGAAAGCGUGGGGAGCAAACAGG
This 404-nucleotide ribosomal RNA is filed under the name Actinomycetes bacterium. Its description in RNAcentral is "Actinobacteria bacterium partial 16S ribosomal RNA". It matches the Rfam family "Bacterial small subunit ribosomal RNA", at positions 355 to 776 of the family's 1533-position model. The record is from RNAcentral. Lineage: Bacteria; Bacillati; Actinomycetota; Actinomycetes.